GCAAUAGGGCAAUUUUAACCCUUUUCGUAGAUACAAAGAACAGAAGAGCAGAAUAGAGUGCUCUCUGCUUCGUCUACAGUGUUCCUUCUUUCAGUUUUGCACUUUUAGCUGAGGAAUUUGGCAGCCGGCUCAAUUAUCAUAAUAAUCCCAAGGAGACCAACGACUUCUCAAUUUGAGACACAAUGGAAAAUUUUGAUCAUCGAUUUCAACGUACUGAUCAGUGGAAGCCUGUCUAUUCCUGGUUAGAGACUCUAGACACAGACGAGGUGGUUAAAUCAAAAGAAAUUAUAGACUGGCUUACUGAGAAUUCUGAUGUGAGAGAACAAUUAAAUUCAAGGCAUUCACGUUACCAUUUGAUGCAUUACAUAAAAAAAUGCCACAUGAAAAUUCUGAAGAGAAAGGAGAAGAAGAAGGGACCAGGAUUCACCAAAAACGUGUCUGUGGCAGAAGUCAAGAAAAGUGAAGAUGUGAAGAAACUUGGUCCAGUUCAAAAUACAGACUAUAAUUUCAGCAACGCCGUACCUAAGGACACUGAUCUCUAUAAAGCAAAACAAACAGAAGCUUUGCAGAAAUAUGAGAUUCUUGUGGAGUUGGAGAAACAACUUUCGAUGCACUUCCCAAAGCCUGGAAACAUUGGCAAUAAAGAAAACUGAUUGCAAGCUGAUUUUGCACCUCGAUUAAAAUGCAGAAUGGCACAGUUUUGCAAUGUAAUGACUAUAAUUUCACAUCCAGUUUUGCUGGUUCGAAUACUUUGUUUCAUCGAUGCUGCAAAAUUUCAAUCAUGGCCCAUAGAAACUAGUUUUAGAAACUAAUAUGUCCCUGUCCUUGUGAGAAAUAUCCUUGAUUCUAUGGUAAUGUAAGAAGUAUGGAAUAU
RNAcentral lists this unclassified non-coding RNA (874 nucleotides) under Hevea brasiliensis (rubber tree). The record is from RNAcentral. Lineage: Eukaryota; Viridiplantae; Streptophyta; Magnoliopsida; Malpighiales; Euphorbiaceae.